This is an RNA transcript of Daucus carota subsp. sativus, 3318 nucleotides long. RefSeq lists it as uncharacterized. The record is from RefSeq and is a predicted model, not a curated record. The transcript is spliced from 7 exons. NCBI's taxonomy places the organism in Eukaryota, Viridiplantae, Streptophyta, Magnoliopsida, Apiales, Apiaceae.
CAUGUCAAGCCUAAGAGCAAAUAAAUUACCUGAUUCCAAAGCAAAUUCCGAAGCAAAGAUAUAUCACGAGCCUAUGAACAAACUUAUACGACCUCAAUUUCAAGCCUGCCCGAAUCUAAUAUAUGCCUGUACAGAUUACAAUAACCUUUGCAGCGUUUUUUUAUAUAUGCGCGAUCAAAGAUUUUGUUAUCGAUUUCUGGUGUGAAUUUGGCGGAUCGUCUCCCCUUCCUACGGAUUCCCCCUCCGGUCCAAUGACACCCGGCAAUUCCCCCUCUUUCUCAGAGCAUAAAGCACGUGGAACCUUAUUUCAUCCCAUUAAUAUGGCUGCUAAUUCUUAAGAAUGACGUAUUCCAUUCCAAGGUGCUUGUGAGAAUGAUCCUUUGAACUUCAGUGACCAAGCUACUAGAAAAAUUGGGCGGCCUAAGGUUACCAUCGCCGAGGAUGUUCUGGAAAGGAGAAGGCUAUCCAGGAGGCAAAAUGCUCAGCAAGCUGGCCAACAAGAAGAGGCUUUUAUAGGCAGAAUCCAAUUACUUGUCCGAAUUUGAUCCUGUACCUAUUCCUGGGCCACCUGGUUCGUUUUUGUGGAGUCUGCAGGGUGUCUACCGAUCUUCAAGGGAGAGCUUAUUGAACACUUCCCAAGUUUAAUCUUUAAAAAAGUUUUUUGUUGAUCCAUUUUCUGCUCAAGAUGGAAUUUAAGAGAGACUUUAUAGGUGCUCAUGUUUUCCAAGCAGCAAAUCUAGGAGGCCAACAGUUUAAGCAUCCGCUCGAUUAUUUCUGUGGAAAAAGAACUGAAGGCGUAACCUUUAGUAUUACAGCAGAAGACCAGGAAGAGCUGAAAGAACAAGAAAUACAGAAAUCAGAGCGGAUGCUGAAGUAUUAUAAAGAAGAGGCUUUUAUAGGCAGAAUCCAAUUACUUGUCCGAAUUUGAUCCUGUACCUAUUCCUGGGCCACCUGGUUCGUUUUUGUGGAGUCUGCAGGGUGUCUACCGAUCUUCAAGGGAGAGCUUAUUGAACACUUCCCAAGUUUAAUCUUUAAAAAAGUUUUUUGUUGAUCCAUUUUCUGCUCAAGAUGGAAUUUAAGAGAGACUUUAUAGGUGCUCAUGUUUUCCAAGCAGCAAAUCUAGGAGGCCAACAGUUUAAGGAGGAUAUUUGUCUUGAUCACUGAAAGUAUAAACAAUAUUAAGAGCUUCAACUUCCCUUUUAUACUUCAGCAUCCGCUCGAUUAUUUCUGUGGAAAAAGAACUGAAGGCGUAACCUUUAGUAUUACAGCAGAAGACCAGGAAGAGCUGAAAGAACAAGAAAUACAGAAAUCAGAGCGGAUGCUGAAGUAUUAUAAAGGUUCAACAACAUCUAAUGUCUUGAAUGUGUCUUCUUCCGGAAUAGGACACGCCAGCAGUCAAUUUAAUGCAACAGAUGGAGGUGAAGCUAGCACUGCAGGUAACUUGUAAUAUCCUUCGCAUUCAUUUGCAUUUACGAAACAGGGAACUGUGUUUGCGUUAUUGUACAUGGGUGGAAUUUGGGGAGCAGAAGAACACGAUAUUUUUUUUUUAUACAUCAGGCACCUUCUAAAGUUUCCUCACGAAAUAAGAGUUUCGGUUUCUAAGCUGAAUUUGUUAGGUUUUAUAAAUGAGGAGGGUAGGUCCAACUGAACCUCACACCCUUACUUUGUUAUAGUAUGAAAAUUUCUCCAGGUACACUGGGGCAUGAUAUUUUUCUAAAGUUGAUAUCAGGUUUGGAGAUGUCAUCUAAACUAAAAAAUAAAAAAUUACCCCGCUCCCACCAUUUGAUAGUGCAAGUUUAAAAGCCCCGGGUUUUAAUUGGAGUAAGUUUCUAUGCCUUUAACUCGGAAAAAUUUCUAGGUCCUACUCUUUUCUUCGUCAACACUUGCUGGGUUUUUUCAUUCGCUAAUCAGGAGAGUUUGCCACAAAAAUAGGCUUAAAAAGUACAUAAAAAUCCCCCCAGAUUGUUUUUAUUGUAACAUGAAAUGGAAUAGUGGAUCAUUCGGCUUAUGUAUGUGAGAUCCUCUUCAUACUACAAGCCCACCAUACACCACUCGUGAAUCAAGCAAAUAAUCUGAUGUAAAAAUUUAGUAAUAUUUACUGAUGAAAGGCUUUUGAAAACUACAAAUUUGAUCGGAGUGAAGGACUUGCAUUAUAUUUAAAUAUUUAAUUGAUUUUAUUCUUGUUUCAUUUCAUGUUAUGAAAUUGCUCCUAUUCACAUUCAUAUGAGCUCUAUUUGAGAAAUGGUUAAAAAAAAUUCGCCUAAAAUAAGCUAUAAUUUAUUGAAGAAAAAUAGUCACUUUUUUAAAUAAUGAUAGAAAAAAAUAUCAGCCAUUCAAAAUGGCUUUUAAACAUGUUAAAGAUUUUUCUCCUCCUGUUUAUUUAGUUCAUUUACUCUGACCCAUUAUGGUCAGUCAGCCAUGAUCUCAGUUUUUUUUCAGAUUCCCCCCUUCCCCCUUUUUCUUCUUCCUACUUGCUUUGCACCUCUAUGAUACUUUUUACAGCACUGCUUGAGUUUAGUUACAGUCUUCUUGAUUAUUGUAUACCUGUCGUUUUCAUAUUGAAUGGAUAAAUUUUAUAUGUACAAUCAUGUUUGGCUACUGAUCAUAUUUUGUGUUUUCCUGCUUACUAGCUUGUCCCGAUAACCCUGUGCAAUCAAUAGAUAAUCUUUAUCAUUAUCAAUUAAUCAAUAAAAUAUAUCUUCCAUUUUUUUGGACAUGUUUCACGGAGUGGAAAGACCUUUACAAUGCAAUCGCUGCCACUUAAGGCAUCCAAAGAUAUCCAGGCUGAUGCACAAAAAUUACCGGAACCACGGAUAUCGGUUGUUUGUCGACUUUUUUGAAAUAUAUGGAGGAAAGCUAUUUGAUCUUCUCAAUGGUCAAAACUGAGCCUGUCUCUUUGAGCCUCUACAUAUCACAUUAACUAAGCAUCGGAACCUUGAACAUUAUGUUUGCAAAAAACUUUGUCUAGGGAAUAUGGGAAACAGCAGGUCCGCAUUGUGGGCUUCCAAGAAUUUGAAGUACUAAAUGUCAAUACAGUCAAGGAAUUGCUGCGAGAAGCAAUUCAACAAGAAGUGCUCGGACAACUGGUGCAAAUGAGGAAUCCUCUCAAUCACAUGAUAAAUAUACCAGCUACUGCCAUUUGAUAGUGCAAGUUUACAAAUCACGGGUUUUAAUUGCAGUGAGUUUUUAUGUCUUUGCCUUAGAAAAUUCCCCAGGUCAUGCUGUUUUUCUGGCAAUACCAGCUGAGUUUUUUUUUCCCGCUUGUGAAACACUAUUUAAUGUUUCAUCGUCAUCCUUUUGGCCCUUUUGGCUGAUUCA